GAACCUGGCUCGAUCAUGACCUCAAGUAAACGUUCUACCACAAAGUCAAUGGCUUGAAGCUGAACUAUGACAACUAGCCUGCAAUGGAGUUUAUUGUAGAGAAAAAUAUUUUUCAAAAUAUAUUAAUUAAAAAAAUUAUUAAGUUCAAUAUAUUUUACAACGUCUUUUACAAAAUCUUAACAAUCAUAGAUUCAUAGACAGUGCAGGAGAAGAAAAUCUAAAAACAGGAAAAAUUAGUAGAAAAAGAUUGUAAUUAAAGGAAAAAAAAAGCUUGUAAAAAGAAGGAAAAAAAAAUCCCAAAUAAUGGAGGAGAGCCAUUGGAUAUUGCAGGUGAGAGAGAGAGAGAGAGAGA
This 352-nucleotide unclassified non-coding RNA is filed under the name Hevea brasiliensis (rubber tree). Lineage: Eukaryota; Viridiplantae; Streptophyta; Magnoliopsida; Malpighiales; Euphorbiaceae. The record is from RNAcentral.